Molecule: ribosomal RNA, 468 nt
Filed under: uncultured bacterium
Lineage: Bacteria
Description: partial 16S ribosomal RNA
Rfam family: Bacterial small subunit ribosomal RNA
Source: RNAcentral
GACGAACGCUGGCGGCGUGCUUAACACAUGCAAGUCGAACGGAAAGGCCCUGCUUUUGUGGGGUGCUCGAGUGGCGAACGGGUGAGUAACACGUGAGUAACCUGCCCUUGACUUUGGGAUAACUUCAGGAAACUGGGGCUAAUACCGGAUAGGAGCUCCUGCUGCAUGGUGGGGGUUGGAAAGUUUCGGCGGUUGGGGAUGGACUCGCGGCUUAUCAGCUUGUUGGUGGGGUAGUGGCUUACCAAGGCUUUGACGGGUAGCCGGCCUGAGAGGGUGACCGGCCACAUUGGGACUGAGCUACGGCCCAGACUCCUACGGGAGGCAGCAGUGGGGAAUAUUGCACAAUGGGCGGAAGCCUGAUGCAGCAACGCCGCGUGCGGUAUGACGGCCUUCGGGUUGUAAACCGCUUUCGCCUGUGACGAAGCGUGAGUGACGGUAAUGGGUAAAGAAGCACCGGCUAACUACGUG